CCCCGUACACAAAAAUGCACAUGCUGUGAGCUCGAUGAGUAGGGCGGGACACGUGGUAUCCUGUCUGAAUAUGGGGGGACCAUCCUCCAAGGCUAAAUACUCCUGACUGACCGAUAGUGAACCAGUACCGUGAGGGAAAGGCGAAAAGAACCCCGGCGAGGGGAGUGAAAAAGAACCUGAAACCGUGUACGUACAAGCAGUGGGAGCACGCUUAGGCGUGUGACUGCGUACCUUUUGUAUAAUGGGUCAGCGACUUAUAUUCUGUAGCAAGGUUAACCGAAUAGGGGAGCCGAAGGGAAACCGAGUCUUAACUGGGCGUUAAGUUGCAGGGUAUAGACCCGAAACCCGGUGAUCUAGCCAUGGGCAGGUUGAAGGUUGGGUAACACUAACUGGAGGACCGAACCGACUAAUGUUGAAAAAUUAGCGGAUGACUUGUGGCUGGGGGUGAAAGGCCAAUCAAACCGGGAGAUAGCUGGUUCUCCCCGAAAGCUAUUUAGGUAGCGCCUCGUGAAUUCAUCUCCGGGGGUAGAGCACUGUUUCGGCAAGGGGGUCAUCCCGACUUACCAACCCGAUGCAAACUGCGAAUACCGGAGAAUGUUAUCACGGGAGACACACGGCGGGUGCUAACGUCCGUCGUGAAGAGGGAAACAACCCAGACCGCCAGCUAAGGUCCCAAAGUCAUGGUUAAGUGGGAAACGAUGUGGGAAGGCCCAGACAGCCAGGAUGUUGGCUUAGAAGCAGCCAUCAUUUAAAGAAAGCGUAAUAGCUCACUGGUCGAGUCGGCCUGCGCGGAAGAUGUAACGGGGCUAAACCAUGCACCGAAGCUGCGGCAGCGACGCUGAUGCGUUGUUGGGUAGGGGAGCGUUCUGUAAGCCUGCGAAGGUGUGCUGUGAGG
RNAcentral lists this ribosomal RNA (895 nucleotides) under Escherichia coli. RNAcentral's name for it is "partial 23S ribosomal RNA". It matches the Rfam family "Bacterial large subunit ribosomal RNA", at positions 371 to 1268 of the family's 2925-position model. Lineage: Bacteria; Pseudomonadati; Pseudomonadota; Gammaproteobacteria; Enterobacterales; Enterobacteriaceae. The record is from RNAcentral.